RNAcentral lists this long non-coding RNA (497 nucleotides) under Capsicum annuum. RNAcentral describes it as "long non-coding RNA (CANN_LNC006670)". The record is from RNAcentral. Lineage: Eukaryota; Viridiplantae; Streptophyta; Magnoliopsida; Solanales; Solanaceae.
UGAUGAUAUGGCAGCUUGUGAUUGGAUGUUGAGUUUUCAAUUUUUUUUUCAAUCUUAAUUCUCAAGUCUCAUCCUAGAACCCCGUUGGUGAAGAAGAAUUUUGUUUGGGAGGGAAAAACGAAGGUUUGAAAGUCUUUUUGGAGCUUCAAAUGAAUUAAAAAACAAUGGUUCCCCUCUUUGUACUUGGAAUGUACUUGAUUUUGUACUUUGAUUAUUUCUUUGUCUCUUCUUUCUUUGGAUGAUAAUGAAUAUGCCAAGGAAUAUUCUUUCACAAACACCUAGUACACUCUCUUUCUUCUCAUUUUUUGGAUUAAACGCUCUCUUUGAAUAUUCUUACUUAGCAAGACUUGAUGAACAUGGAAGAACAAGAUGAAUAUUUAAGAGUUGACCAAAGUUUGACCCCUAACCAAAUGAACUCCAAAUCUAAUUUUUUUUUGUAGAUCUAGGUUCCUUAGGCCAAGGUGAACUCAAAUAACUAAAAAUUAUUAACAAACCAA